AUGGUGCUGCCCAGGCUGCUGAAGCUGCUCAUGGCAUCAAUGUGUCUGGAAUCCAGUUUUGCCCAGAAGGUGACUCAGGCCCAGCCAGCCAUGUGGGUGCAGGAGAAGGAGGCUGUGAGCCUGCUCUGCUCCUAUGACACCAGUGAGACAAGUUAUGGUCUCCUCUGGUACAAGCAGCCCAGCAGUGGGGAGAUGGUCUUCCUCAUCCUUCAGAACUCUUACAGCCAGCAAAAUGCCACAGAAGGAGGAAGCAAUGGAGACUCAGUGAUUCAGACAGAAGAACAAAUGACCCUCUCUGAAGGGACUUCCCUGACUGUGAACUGUUCCUAUGAAAGCUCACAGUGCCCAGCCCUAUUCUGGUAUGUUCAAUACCCUGGAGAAGGUCCACAGCUCCUCCUGAAAGCCUUGAAGGCCAAUGAUAAGGGGAGUGAGAAAGGUUUUGAAGCCACAUACAAGAAAGAAACCACCUCCUUCCACCUGGAGAAAGCCUCUGUCCAAGAGUCAGACUUGGCUGUGUACUACUGUGCUCUGGGUGACGCAGUGGCAGAAACUGCAGGGGGAGCUGAGCACAAACUCUGA
Non-coding RNA from Ictidomys tridecemlineatus (thirteen-lined ground squirrel), 579 nucleotides. Lineage: Eukaryota; Metazoa; Chordata; Mammalia; Rodentia; Sciuridae. The record is from the annotation of a RefSeq genome assembly.